This is a non-coding RNA of Phascolarctos cinereus (koala), 332 nucleotides long. NCBI's taxonomy places the organism in Eukaryota, Metazoa, Chordata, Mammalia, Diprotodontia, Phascolarctidae. The record is from RefSeq and is a predicted model, not a curated record.
AGCUGAGCGUGCGGAGCGUCCGAGUAAGAAAUGCUUGUGUGUGUGGCUGGUGGAGGAAGAUUACUUGUUGAAGUCGUCUGAGCAAGGGAGUUCAUUAUGAUGGGAGAUUAUGCACUGAUGAUGGUGACAUGGAACUUCUCUGCAAGUGGCAAUCAUGUUAUCAAGAAAUACAAACUUGUUGACUAGAUUAAUUUUGAUUAUAAAACCUACACCAGCUUCAUGGCACUCCCCUUCAUUGCUGCCAUGUGUAUCCAGCUCCAACUUUGGUCUACUGGAUUUCAUGUUGUCCAUAAGUGUGUGGACAUUCCAUGUACAGAUGGUGAGUGGAAUCA